Molecule: long non-coding RNA, 1598 nt
Organism: Python bivittatus (Burmese python)
Lineage: Eukaryota; Metazoa; Chordata; Lepidosauria; Squamata; Pythonidae
Source: RefSeq, a predicted model, not a curated record
UCCAGAGUGACCUGGCAACAAGGAUCCUUUCUGGGAAGUUGAAGGAGUGUCCAAAAGCUUUCUCAGUGGAGUACCGAUAAAUAUCCAUCACCACAGGAGAGUGAGGAAAGAGAAAGGAAAGCUCUCUGGCUAUAUUAACCAUGGAGUACUGAAGUAGCUUGCUGAUGGUGUGUCCAAACAAGAUCACAUGCAAAUAAUUCUGAAGGACAGAAGAAAUAGCAGACUGGAGAGGAGCAGAUGUUUUCCUUAUCUUCAGAAAGGAAAAGGAGGAUACAGCAAACUACAUCAAUACAAACAGAUUCUAUAGCACAUCAUAAGAGAUCAAUCAGUUUUCUGAAUGGCCCAUUCCAGCUGAGUGAAUCCAUGAAAGUGGUAGUCUACACCCAAUAACUGGAUUUUCAGCAUCUCUGUGAACAUGGCCAUAACCUUGGUUAAGAUUAUUUAUUAAAAAUUUCCAAUAAACAAUGGCAGCUUAAAGGGAAACUGCUUUAAAAAACAAUCCUGGUUAUCAGUAUUUGCUGAUAAUAUAUUUCAACGCUUCUUGACUACAUUGUUUCAAACUACUUUACUCUGGCAAUUUUAUAUCAGCACAAACAGAAUUUUUGGUCUUUCAGAAGACAUUUAACAUUAUUCUUUAGUAAAACUGUGUGCAAGAGAUGGUAAUUACUGUAUAUAAAUAGUAGUUAAAAUGACUACACUCAAAGAGUAAGAGUCCAAAAUAAUACUGCAUUACACAAAUGGCAUUAAUUGUGUCAAUUUCUGUCAUUUGCACAAAUGAGGCAAAUCCCUGCUAUGACCUGCUGUUUGUUUCAAUGGACUUUCCUCAACAACUGACACCCCUUUCCCCCAUCGGUCCAGUAAAAUGAAGUUUCCUGAAUUUCACUUCUGAACGAUGGCUAUCCUUGCCUUUAAAGCUGAUGAAAAUCUUCAGGUGAGGAGAAGCAGCCUAUGGCCAUUUUUAGUCUCCUGUGGGCUUCUUUUUAUCUGAGUUUCAGGUUUGGCAUGCAAACUCAAAAUGGACCCAAAGUCAUGUUCACUCAACAUACUUAAGCUCAAACUAGUCAACCACAUUUUAGCCUGCUGUGUUGUAUGAACCAAGCAGAUGUAAUUCAUUAAUGGUUCAGUGCAAAAAAUUAUGUAAAUUGAGUCAACCAUGUAUGUAUUUUCUGUAUGAUGCAUUUGGUAACUUAAGCAGCAUAUUUCUACAUUGAGAAUAAUCAUAUAAUUCACAUAGCUCUCGGCUUUCUAUGUCCACCCUUUCUUCAUCCCAUAUAAUUCAGUUAAGUAUGCAUAUCUAUUAUGUUGGAGCACAUUAACAAAAAUAUUUGAAAUUCAUAUCAACCCUGUUCCCCCAAAUCAGCACUGUACUGAAAUGUUAAACGUUCUUGGGUGGCAAGUAUAAUUUUAGUGUAUUCAAGUGACCCAAUCAGUGGGCUGUAUCACAGUUUGUCCUGUCUAUAAAGUGGGUAGAUCGUUAACUAUUGAUAGAAUAUUCUGUAAUAUCACAGUAAAGUAGCAAGUUAUAUGAAACAAUUUGAUAGAAUACUUAAUCUUUAAUAUUUUGUGGAACAAUGUUAGUAAUCCUCAUCAAAUCUUUA